UGGGUGUAGCUCAGUGCCAGAGCCCUUGCCUAGCAUGCAUGAGGCCCUGGGUUCCAUCCCCAGCACUGCAA
This 71-nucleotide transfer RNA is filed under the name Marmota monax (woodchuck). It matches the Rfam family "tRNA". Rfam says of the family: Transfer RNA (tRNA) molecules are approximately 80 nucleotides in length. Their secondary structure includes four short double-helical elements and three loops (D, anti-codon, and T loops). The record is from Rfam by way of RNAcentral. RNAcentral also lists the same sequence under 1 other name. Lineage: Eukaryota; Metazoa; Chordata; Mammalia; Rodentia; Sciuridae.